CUAACUCCCCAUGGUCUCCGAUGAGGACAUCCGAAUUGGAGUAAAGCUUCGCGGACAUGGAUGGGGAUGCGUCUGAUUAGGUAGUAGGCGGGGUAACGGCCCACCUAGCCUACGAUCAGUAGGGGUUCUGAGAGGAAGGUCCCCCACAUUGGAACUGAGACACGGUCCAAACUCCUACGGGAGGCAGCAGUGAGGAAUAUUGGUCAAUGGACGCGAGUCUGAACCAGCCAAGUAGCGUGCAGGAUGACGGCCCUAUGGGUUGUAAACUGCUUUUGCGCGGGGAUAACACCCUCCACGUGCUGGAGGUCUGCAGGUACCGCGCGAAUAAGGACCGGCUAAUUCCGUGCCAGCAGCCGCGGUAAUACGGAAGGUCCGGGCGUUAUCCGGAUUUAUUGGGUUUAAAGGGAGCGUAGGCCGUGAGGUAAGCGUGUUGUGAAAUGUAGGCGCCCAACGUCUGCACUGCAGCGCGAACUGCCCCACUUGAGUGCGCGCAACGCCGGCGGAACUCGUCGUGUAGCGGUGAAAUGCUUAGAUAUGACGAAGAACCCCGAUUGCGAAGGCAGCUGGCGGGAGCGUAACUGACGCUGAAGCUCGAAAGCGCGGGUAUCGAACAGGAUUAGAUACCCUGGUAGUCCGCGCGG
RNAcentral lists this ribosomal RNA (641 nucleotides) under uncultured bacterium. RNAcentral's name for it is "bacterial SSU rRNA". It matches the Rfam family "Bacterial small subunit ribosomal RNA", at positions 163 to 802 of the family's 1533-position model. The record is from RNAcentral.